AGUCGCGCGAAGCCAGAGAGGACCCUGGGCGUGAUUCUCCCUCCCUGGCACAGACGGAGACCCGAGUGACCCCGGGGUCCGGGUGGGCGUGGGGAAUGGACCCAUAGACCCGGGACGAGCGGCGCGGAGCCCGCAGCUGGCCAGCUUCAGCCACCUUGGGAGACGCAGUGCAGCUGCCGCUGCUGACAGACAAGACCAAGGCUCGGCUGGGCCCCACCCCAGAUCCGGCCUGAGCGCCUUCCGCGCUGCUCGGCCUCAAGGCGUGAGUCACCAAGGGCAAGUCCCGUGACUUGGUCCUCAGGGUCUCCGGCCUCGGCACAUUAAUCUUCAGACCCGGCUUUUUCGACGCCGAGCUGCCGCCCAGCCCCAAUGGCAGGGCCUUCCAGGGAGUCCCAGUCAGACUGCUCCCCAGCUCCCGCAGCUGCUCGGUCCCUGCAAAGCCCCCGGGAGCGUUUCUACUCUCCCCUGAGCCCACGCCAUCCCGUCACUCCUAGGAAACUUUUCGCGCAGAAACUCCUGGAGAACAGCCCCGGCCGCCAGGUACUCGCCCGCCCGGACCGCAAAGCCCACAGAGCUUCAAUUCGCAGGAAGGGGAGUGGGGAGCCCUGAGCUGGGGUGUUCCUGGAAGAGGUCGGGGAGCGGGGGGAGAGGCAUUCCAGGCUGGAGGCCUGGAAACGUUUGGAAGCUUUGCUAACCUUGGAGACCAUGUCAGGAAAGAAGCGUACCCAGGCCGUCUGCUGUGUGCCCACCCCGAUCCCCAUCAGUGCCCCACGCACUCGAGCUCUUCUUCGGCGUCUGCAGCCUCUUCAUCCGCGCGGAGAGGCGGAGGUCUCCCGGAAACAGUGUCCGACUGUGGCACCCCAGAGCGUCCAAUGCGAGCUCAGGCCUUUCCCGCAAGUCUGGAGUUUUCUUAUCCAGUUGAGGCCGCCUUCGCUGUACUCACUCUCUGCCUCCCACCCCAUCUUCUGCCACCCGACCUCCAUCUUUGAUGGUUAGCGCCUUCAGCCCUCAACAGCUUCGCACAACCAACCCCUAGAAGCCGUGGAGUCAGACCGGCCAGGGUGGGACCUAGGUUUUAACUCGGGUUCUGGCUACACACGCUGCGCCUCCAUACAGUUUGUCCCAGGUUUGGCAGCAGGCCGGCUACCUUCAGGAAUUCUUUGCUUUGGCUUCUGUCUGUUCCUGUCUGUUGGGCAAGUUUCUAGCUACCCCACUGAGAGAACCAUAGAACAAGGACCCUGGCAUGGCAUACAGACAAGGAAUGUUUGCUGAAUUAAUGGAGCUGGUGCCUUGCAGCUUCCCUUUUGUUCCUUGAAGUUGCCCUUGCUCUCCUCCACAUCAGCUCCCUCUCCUCCUCAGCUACUUAUUCCCCACCCUGGCUUCUUCUAGUCGCAGUCCCCAAGUACUUGCUGAAUCCUGUAUGGACAGCCUAAGCCUCCAUUUCUGACAAUUCCUGUGGCCCCACUCCAUUUGUUUUUUAGACUUCUCCCUCCUUUUUGUCCCCAUCCCCCAAGUUAUAAAACUAUAAUG
RNAcentral lists this long non-coding RNA (1530 nucleotides) under Homo sapiens (human). RNAcentral's name for it is "HSALNT0303640". Lineage: Eukaryota; Metazoa; Chordata; Mammalia; Primates; Hominidae. The record is from RNAcentral.